This 82-nucleotide small RNA is filed under the name Flavobacterium sp. 9. Its description in RNAcentral is "Flavo-1 RNA". Lineage: Bacteria; Pseudomonadati; Bacteroidota; Flavobacteriia; Flavobacteriales; Flavobacteriaceae. The record is from RNAcentral.
CGAUGGUCCCGAAGUUUCGGGAGAUAUCCUUUUGUGUCCGCCGCGGCGGACACAAAAGAUAUAAUGUAAAGCGGGACUUUAU